CAUGUACUCCCUUCGUAUGGAAAUACUUGUCAUCAAAAUGAAUAAAAGGGGAUGUAUCUAGAUGUAUUUUAGUUCUAGAUACAUUCUUUUUUGUCUAUUUUAAUGACAAGUAUUCUCGGACGGAGGGAGUAUAUC
Non-coding RNA from Triticum aestivum (bread wheat), 135 nucleotides. The record is from Rfam. NCBI's taxonomy places the organism in Eukaryota, Viridiplantae, Streptophyta, Magnoliopsida, Poales, Poaceae.